AGUGAACGCUGGCGGUAGGCCUAACACAUGCAAGUCGAACGGCAGCACAGUAAGAGCUUGCUCUUACGGGUGGCGAGUGGCGGACGGGUGAGGAAUACAUCGGAAUCUACUUUUUCGUGGGGGAUAACGUAGGGAAACUUACGCUAAUACCGCAUACGAUCUACGGGUGAAAGCAGGGGAUCUUCGGACCUUGCGCGUUUGAAUGAGCCGAUGUCGGAUUAGCUAGUUGGCGGGGUAAAGGCCCACCAAGGCGACGAUGCGUAGCUGGUCUGAGAGGAUGAUCAGCCACACUGGAACUGAGACACGGUCCAGACUCCUACGGGAGGCAGCAGUGGGGAAUAUUGGACAAUGGGCGCAAGCCUGAUCCAGCCAUACCGCGUGGGUGAAGAAGGCCUUCGGGUUGUAAAGCCCUUUUGUUGGGAAAGAAAAGCAGCAGGUUAAUACCCCGCUGUUCUGACGGUACCCAAAGAAUAAGCACCGGCUAACUUCGUG
Molecule: ribosomal RNA, 492 nt
Filed under: uncultured bacterium
Lineage: Bacteria
Description: partial 16S ribosomal RNA
Rfam family: Bacterial small subunit ribosomal RNA
Source: RNAcentral